Molecule: ribosomal RNA, 2921 nt
Filed under: Staphylococcus aureus DAR3794
Lineage: Bacteria; Bacillati; Bacillota; Bacilli; Caryophanales; Staphylococcaceae
Description: bacterial LSU rRNA
Rfam family: Bacterial large subunit ribosomal RNA
Source: RNAcentral
UUAAGUUAUUAAGGGCGCACGGUGGAUGCCUUGGCACUAGAAGCCGAUGAAGGACGUUACUAACGACGAUAUGCUUUGGGGAGCUGUAAGUAAGCUUUGAUCCAGAGAUUUCCGAAUGGGGAAACCCAGCAUGAGUUAUGUCAUGUUAUCGAUAUGUGAAUACAUAGCAUAUCAGAAGGCACACCCGGAGAACUGAAACAUCUUAGUACCCGGAGGAAGAGAAAGAAAAUUCGAUUCCCUUAGUAGCGGCGAGCGAAACGGGAAGAGCCCAAACCAACAAGCUUGCUUGUUGGGGUUGUAGGACACUCUAUACGGAGUUACAAAGGACGACAUUAGACGAAUCAUCUGGAAAGAUGAAUCAAAGAAGGUAAUAAUCCUGUAGUCGAAAAUGUUGUCUCUCUUGAGUGGAUCCUGAGUACGACGGAGCACGUGAAAUUCCGUCGGAAUCUGGGAGGACCAUCUCCUAAGGCUAAAUACUCUCUAGUGACCGAUAGUGAACCAGUACCGUGAGGGAAAGGUGAAAAGCACCCCGGAAGGGGAGUGAAAUAGAACCUGAAACCGUGUGCUUACAAGUAGUCAGAGCCCGUUAAUGGGUGAUGGCGUGCCUUUUGUAGAAUGAACCGGCGAGUUACGAUUUGAUGCAAGGUUAAGCAGUAAAUGUGGAGCCGUAGCGAAAGCGAGUCUGAAUAGGGCGUUUAGUAUUUGGUCGUAGACCCGAAACCAGGUGAUCUACCCUUGGUCAGGUUGAAGUUCAGGUAACACUGAAUGGAGGACCGAACCGACUUACGUUGAAAAGUGAGCGGAUGAACUGAGGGUAGCGGAGAAAUUCCAAUCGAACCUGGAGAUAGCUGGUUCUCUCCGAAAUAGCUUUAGGGCUAGCCUCAAGUGAUGAUUAUUGGAGGUAGAGCACUGUUUGGACGAGGGGCCCCUCUCGGGUUACCGAAUUCAGACAAACUCCGAAUGCCAAUUAAUUUAACUUGGGAGUCAGAACAUGGGUGAUAAGGUCCGUGUUCGAAAGGGAAACAGCCCAGACCACCAGCUAAGGUCCCAAAAUAUAUGUUAAGUGGAAAAGGAUGUGGCGUUGCCCAGACAACUAGGAUGUUGGCUUAGAAGCAGCCAUCAUUUAAAGAGUGCGUAAUAGCUCACUAGUCGAGUGACACUGCGCCGAAAAUGUACCGGGGCUAAACAUAUUACCGAAGCUGUGGAUUGUCCUUUGGACAAUGGUAGGAGAGCGUUCUAAGGGCGUUGAAGCAUGAUCGUAAGGACAUGUGGAGCGCUUAGAAGUGAGAAUGCCGGUGUGAGUAGCGAAAGACGGGUGAGAAUCCCGUCCACCGAUUGACUAAGGUUUCCAGAGGAAGGCUCGUCCGCUCUGGGUUAGUCGGGUCCUAAGCUGAGGCCGACAGGCGUAGGCGAUGGAUAACAGGUUGAUAUUCCUGUACCACCUAUAAUCGUUUUAAUCGAUGGGGGGACGCAGUAGGAUAGGCGAAGCGUGCGAUUGGAUUGCACGUCUAAGCAGUAAGGCUGAGUAUUAGGCAAAUCCGGUACUCGUUAAGGCUGAGCUGUGAUGGGGAGAAGACAUUGUGUCUUCGAGUCGUUGAUUUCACACUGCCGAGAAAAGCCUCUAGAUAGAAAAUAGGUGCCCGUACCGCAAACCGACACAGGUAGUCAAGAUGAGAAUUCUAAGGUGAGCGAGCGAACUCUCGUUAAGGAACUCGGCAAAAUGACCCCGUAACUUCGGGAGAAGGGGUGCUCUUUAGGGUUAACGCCCAGAAGAGCCGCAGUGAAUAGGCCCAAGCGACUGUUUAUCAAAAACACAGGUCUCUGCUAAACCGUAAGGUGAUGUAUAGGGGCUGACGCCUGCCCGGUGCUGGAAGGUUAAGAGGAGUGGUUAGCUUCUGCGAAGCUACGAAUCGAAGCCCCAGUAAACGGCGGCCGUAACUAUAACGGUCCUAAGGUAGCGAAAUUCCUUGUCGGGUAAGUUCCGACCCGCACGAAAGGCGUAACGAUUUGGGCACUGUCUCAACGAGAGACUCGGUGAAAUCAUAGUACCUGUGAAGAUGCAGGUUACCCGCGACAGGACGGAAAGACCCCGUGGAGCUUUACUGUAGCCUGAUAUUGAAAUUCGGCACAGCUUGUACAGGAUAGGUAGGAGCCUUUGAAACGUGAGCGCUAGCUUACGUGGAGGCGCUGGUGGGAUACUACCCUAGCUGUGUUGGCUUUCUAACCCGCACCAUUUAUCGUGGUGGGAGACAGUGUCAGGCGGGCAGUUUGACUGGGGCGGUCGCCUCCUAAAAGGUAACGGAGGCGCUCAAAGGUUCCCUCAGAAUGGUUGGAAAUCAUUCAUAGAGUGUAAAGGCAUAAGGGAGCUUGACUGCGAGACCUACAAGUCGAGCAGGGUCGAAAGACGGACUUAGUGAUCCGGUGGUUCCGCAUGGAAGGGCCAUCGCUCAACGGAUAAAAGCUACCCCGGGGAUAACAGGCUUAUCUCCCCCAAGAGUUCACAUCGACGGGGAGGUUUGGCACCUCGAUGUCGGCUCAUCGCAUCCUGGGGCUGUAGUCGGUCCCAAGGGUUGGGCUGUUCGCCCAUUAAAGCGGUACGCGAGCUGGGUUCAGAACGUCGUGAGACAGUUCGGUCCCUAUCCGUCGUGGGCGUAGGAAAUUUGAGAGGAGCUGUCCUUAGUACGAGAGGACCGGGAUGGACAUACCUCUGGUGUACCAGUUGUCGUGCCAACGGCAUAGCUGGGUAGCUAUGUGUGGACGGGAUAAGUGCUGAAAGCAUCUAAGCAUGAAGCCCCCCUCAAGAUGAGAUUUCCCAACUUCGGUUAUAAGAUCCCUCAAAGAUGAUGAGGUUAAUAGGUUCGAGGUGGAAGCAUGGUGACAUGUGGAGCUGACGAAUACUAAUCGAUCGAAGACUUAAUCAA